Molecule: ribosomal RNA, 500 nt
Filed under: uncultured bacterium
Lineage: Bacteria
Description: partial 16S ribosomal RNA
Rfam family: Bacterial small subunit ribosomal RNA
Source: RNAcentral
ACUGAACGCUGGCGGCAGGCCUAACACAUGCAAGUCGAGCGGAUGAUUGGAGCUUGCUCCAUGAUUCAGCGGCGGACGGGUGAGUAGUGCCUAGGAAUCUGCCUGGUAGUGGGGGACAACGUUUCGAAAGGAACGCUAAUACCGCAUACGUCCUACGGGAGAAAGCAGGGGACCUUCGGGCCUUGCGCUAUCAGAUGAGCCUCCGUCGGAUUAGCUAGUAGGUGGGGUAGUGGCCCACCUAGGCGACGAUCCGUAACUGGCCUGAGAGGAUGGUCAGUCACACGGGAACUGAGACACGGUCCAGACUCCUACGGGAGGCAGCAGUGGGGAAUAUUGGACAAUGAGCGAAAGCCUGAUCCAGCCAUGUCGCGUGUGUGAAGAAGGUCUUCGGAUUGUAAAGCACUUUAAGUUGGGAGGAAGGGUAGUAAGUUAAUACCUUGCUGUUUUGACGUUACCAGCAGAAUAAGCACCGGCUAACUUCGUGCCAGCCGCCGCAGUAA